UGAUAAAAAAAUAUUUUUUCACAAGUCAAUUGAUGCUUCAGAUAGGGCGCACGACGCUGCAUACAUUCUUGGACUGAUGGAAGUGAUUGAUUCAAUAGGAGAGCAGAAUGUCGUGCAGGUUAUUAUAGAUAAUGGGCCAUAAUAUAAGGUCGCUGGCAAGUUAUUGAUGGAGCGACAAUCGUAUGUUUAUUGGACAUCAUGUUGCAUAUUGCAUUGGUCUCAUAUUGAUGGAUAUUGGGAAGCUUCAUAGAAUGUAGCAGGUAGUGGACUCAUCUUAGUCUAUUAUUAGAUUUAUCGACAAUCAUAUAUGAAUCCUGUCAUUGAUGUGGAAAUAUAUUGGAGGAAAGAUCUUAAGAUCGGGUGUCAUACGAUUUAUAACAAACUAUAUGGCACUUGAUAGCCUUCUGCAGAAGAAAGCAGUCUUGCGUUAGAUGUUUGUCAGGGUCGAAUGAUAGGAGAGUAGAUAUGCGAAGGCCGGUAUUGAGGAAAGUCAUGUGGAGAAUUUGAUAACCAACCAGUCAUUCUGGCAACGUGCUGAUAAGAUAGUGAAGGUUAUCAAGCCAUUAUAUGAGGUACUUCACAUCAUGGAUAGUAAAAGAUACCCUCAGAUGGACUUCUUGUAUCACAUGAUGGAGAAGGUAAAGAAACAAAUUAGUGAGAUAGAUCAGAAACAUGCUCAAGAAUACAUUAACAUCAUUGAGUGCCGCUAGGACUAUCAGAUGGAUAGGGAUUUGCAUCUAGUCGGUAAGUAUGAAUUAAAAAAUCAUCUAAAAUUUUUUUUGUACUUGUAUAAGUCUACUUAAUCAUUCGUAGAAUUUAUUUUCAGCUUACUAUUUGAAUCUGAGGUUUCAGUACACCAUACCUGAGAUAGAUAUAGAUAAUGAGCUUCUCACUGCUCUCCGUAAUGUGAUAUAUAAGAUAGUGUCUGAUCCAAAAAUUGUAUCUAUAUGUCUAUAAGAGGUAUAUUAGGUCAAUUAAGGUGUAAGCAUUUAACUUAAUUCGGUUCUGUCUGUAAUCAAUAAUAUAUUUAUUAAUAAAAUAAAUAUAUUUUUUACAGAUGAAACAGUUUAAAGAGAAGACAAACAGCUUUAGAAUCUCAUUAGCUGUCGUAAGCAAAAAGAAGAUGAAUCCAGAUAAACUACAUAUCAGUACUUAAGAUUUUAUUGACAUUACAUGCCUACUAAUAUUAUAACAUCUAAUACAUAAAUUUGUUUAAUAUUCUUGUAGCUGAAUGGUGGAUUUAUUUUGGACAGUUCGUAUAAAAUUUGAAAAGUGUGGCCAUUCGCAUUCUUUUUCAAACGAUUUUUUCUAGCGGAUAUGAGCGCAAUUGGUCAAUUUUUGUCCAUAUCUACGGCAAACAGAGAAAUCGUCUGACACAAGUGCCUCAACGAUCUUAUAUAUGUGCACUAUAAUUUGAGAUUGAGACUAAACUGCGUCCAGGAUGAAGUACUGUUGAAGUAUACGGAUCCAAUGAUAGAUGACUAUGCCAUUGAUGUCGAGGAUCCGAUGAUUUGAUGGCUUGCAAGCCAGCAGCAGGAGUCAAAACUUGAUGAGCUGAGAUCUCCUCCACGACUUGCCAAUGUGGUAGCUAGAGAGAUCAGCAUGGAUCUAGGGCAGUAGGCAUAUGCAAAUAUUUUUCAUAGGGUUCCAGUUGAUCAACCAUAAUAUAAGGAAUCACAGGGGAGUCAUUCAUUACGUGACUCCAUAUCCAAGACAUUCUCUCAGAUGUUUGAGCGAGAAAUAUUUAGAUAAGGCCGAUUAUCUCAAGCAGGAAGAAGACAUCCAUCCUCCCAAAUAUAGCAAAAUCAAUCACAGAGGGGCAUCAGGGGAGCUCGAAAAGAUAAAGAAAAAGAAAAGACAGUUGCAGCACCUUUGAGAGUGUAGGAGUCAGUUGACUCAGAUUUGGAGACCAGCGGCAGCAAGAGUGAUGAUAGCAGUCAUGGAUCCGAUAAUCAGUGAGGGACUUGAGGAUACGAGAUCACUAUUCAUGAGAUGCAGCCGCAGGAUGGUAUUCGAUUCACCAGUGAGUCCCAAUUUACGCAUGCUACACAAGAUAGGGACCACGGUGCACGAGCUGAUAGAUCCCGUGAGGAGACGAUUUCAUAUAGACGACAGCCUCUCAGAGAUCGUCCAACACAUGAUACAGCUACAGAUGAUCUUGCACGUGGAGUAGGAUCCAUGGAUGUAUUUAGAUCAUCUUCCGUAUUAUGGAUUCUAUCAUCCGCAGGUAGCUUAUGAUUCAUAUGGAUAUGGUGUAUUCGAGACAUCGGCUUCUGAUGGCUAUUAUUUUAUGCAGUCUAGAGCAUCUUAUGGAUUGGAUGUUGCUACUGGCAUAUUUGGAUGGGCCUUUCCACAGCCAUAUCAUCAUCUUGAGGAUAUCUCUCAGAGUUAGAGUUUGAGCGAGAGAUCUGAGAUGUUUUACAAUCCAGAGAGAAUACUUUAUGAAAUGAAUAUUCAGAAGUACAGUGCUAUUUGGGUAAAGGGAUAGACCAAUGUUUCUCCGGAGUAUGCGGAUGAUUCGGAUAUCUACGAGUGUCACAGACACUUGAUGAGAUAUUAGAUCAGUGG
RNAcentral lists this long non-coding RNA (2568 nucleotides) under Elaeis guineensis (African oil palm). RNAcentral's name for it is "long non-coding RNA (EGUI_LNC051855)". The record is from RNAcentral. Lineage: Eukaryota; Viridiplantae; Streptophyta; Magnoliopsida; Arecales; Arecaceae.